ACGGGUGAGUAAUGUCUGGGAAACUGCCUGAUGGAGGGGGAUAACUACUGGAAACGGUAGCUAAUACCGCAUAACGUCGCAAGACCGAAGAGGGGGACCUUCGGGCCUCUUGCCAUCGGAUGUGCCCAGAUGGGAUUAGCUAGUAGGUGGGGUAAAGGCUCACCUAGGCGACGAUCCCUAGCUGGUCUGAGAGGAUGACCAGCCACACUGGAACUGAGACACGGUCCAGACUCCUACGGGAGGCAGCAGUGGGGAAUAUUGCACAAUGGGCGCAAGCCUGAUGCAGCCAUGCCGCGUGUGUGAAGAAGGCCUUCGGGUUGUAAAGCACUUUCAGCGGGGAGGAAGGGAGCAGGCUUAAUACGUCUGUUCAUUGACGUUACCCGCAGAAGAAGCACCGGCUAACUCCGUGCCAGCAGCCGCGGUAAUACGGAGGGUGCAAGCGUUAAUCGGAAUGACUGGGCGUAAAGCGCACGCAGGCGGUCUGUUAAGUUGGAUGUGAAAUCCCCGGGCUUAACCUGGGAACUGCAUUCAAAACUGACAGGCUAGAGUCUCGUAGAGGGGGGUAGAAUUCCAGGUGU
RNAcentral lists this ribosomal RNA (578 nucleotides) under uncultured bacterium. RNAcentral's name for it is "bacterial SSU rRNA". It matches the Rfam family "Bacterial small subunit ribosomal RNA", at positions 102 to 676 of the family's 1533-position model. The record is from RNAcentral.